Molecule: ribosomal RNA, 465 nt
Filed under: Streptococcus sp. oral taxon 431
Lineage: Bacteria; Bacillati; Bacillota; Bacilli; Lactobacillales; Streptococcaceae
Description: bacterial SSU rRNA
Rfam family: Bacterial small subunit ribosomal RNA
Source: RNAcentral
GAUGAACGCUGGCGGCGUGCCUAAUACAUGCAAGUAGAGCGCUGAAGGAAGGAGCUUGCUCUUUCCGGAUGAGUUGCGAACGGGUGAGUAACGCGUAGGUAACCUGCCUGGUAGCGGGGGAUAACUAUUGGAAACGAUAGCUAAUACCGCAUAACAGUAGAUAUUGCAUGAUAUCUGCUUGAAAGGUGCAAUUGCAUCACUACCAGAUGGACCUGCGUUGUAUUAGCUAGUUGGUGAGGUAACGGCUCACCAAGGCGACGAUACAUAGCCGACCUGAGAGGGUGAUCGGCCACACUGGGACUGAGACACGGCCCAGACUCCUACGGGAGGCAACAGUAGGGAAUCUUCGGCAAUGGACGGAAGUCUGACCGAGCAACGCCGCGUGAGUGAAGAAGGUUUUCGGAUCGUAAAGCUCUGUUGUAAGAGAAGACACGAGUGUGAGAGUGGAAAGUUCACACUGUGACG